RNAcentral lists this ribosomal RNA (468 nucleotides) under uncultured bacterium. Its description in RNAcentral is "partial 16S ribosomal RNA". It matches the Rfam family "Bacterial small subunit ribosomal RNA", at positions 28 to 507 of the family's 1533-position model. The record is from RNAcentral.
GACGAACGCUGGCGGCGUGCUUAACACAUGCAAGUCGAACGGAAAGGCCCUGCUUUUGUGGGGUGCUCGAGUGGCGAACGGGUGAGUAACACGUGAGUAACCUGCCCUUGACUUUGGGAUAACUUCAGGAAACUGGGGCUAAUACCGGAUAGGAGCUCCUGCUGCAUGGUGGGGGUUGGAAAGUUUCGGCGGUUGGGGAUGGACGCGCGGCUUAUCAGCUUGUUGGUGGGGUAGUGGCUUACCAAGGCUUUGACGGGUAGCCGGCCUGAGAGGGUGACCGGCCACAAUGGGACUAAGAUACGGCCCAGACUCCUACAGGAGGCAGCAGUGGGGAAUAUGGCACAAUGGGCGGAAGCCUGAUGCAGCAACGCCGCGUGCGUGAUGACGGCCUUCGGGUUGAAAACCGCUUUCGCCUGUUACGAAGCGUGAGUGACGGUAAUGGGUAAAGAAGCACCGGCUAACUACGUG